Molecule: ribosomal RNA, 261 nt
Filed under: uncultured archaeon
Lineage: Archaea
Description: partial 16S ribosomal RNA
Rfam family: Archaeal small subunit ribosomal RNA
Source: RNAcentral
CAGCCGUAAACUAUGCUCGCUAGGUGUCAGGCAUGGCGCGACCGUGUCUGGUGCCGCAGGGAAGCCGUGAAGCGAGCCACCUGGGAAGUACGGCCGCAAGGCUGAAACUUAAAGGAAUUGGCGGGGGAGCACAACAACGGGUGGAGCCUGCGGUUUAAUUGGACUCAACGCCGGACAACUCACCGGGGACGACAGCAAUAUGUAGGCCAGGCCGAAGACCUUGCCUGAAUCGCUGAGAGGAGGUGCAUGGCGUAGACGUCU